CUAACUAUACGGAGCUUUGAGAUGUAUCUUGGUUGUAGUAGAUUCAUUACAGAAAUAGAAUAUACACCUAAAUAAGAUUUAUCACCUUAAUAGUAAAGGAGAAGUCCUAUGCAAUUUAUGAGACUGAGUUCAGAAAGUUUUUGAUCAAAGCAAGUGUGAAUACUGAAAAAGAAUUUUCAUAAAAAUUCAUAAAUGAACUCGAGUCAA
Molecule: long non-coding RNA, 207 nt
Filed under: Elaeis guineensis (African oil palm)
Lineage: Eukaryota; Viridiplantae; Streptophyta; Magnoliopsida; Arecales; Arecaceae
Description: long non-coding RNA (EGUI_LNC017394)
Source: RNAcentral